Molecule: ribosomal RNA, 253 nt
Filed under: uncultured bacterium
Lineage: Bacteria
Description: partial 16S ribosomal RNA
Rfam family: Bacterial small subunit ribosomal RNA
Source: RNAcentral
UACGGAGGGGGCAAGCGUUGUCCGGAAUUAUUGGGCGUAAAGAGCUCGUAGGCGGUUCGUCGCGUCGGCUGUGAAAUCCCGGAGCUCAACUCCGGGUCUGCAGUCGAUACGGGCGGACUCGAGUUCGGCAGGGGAGACUGGAAUUCCUGGUGUAGCGGUGAAAUGCGCAGAUAUCAGGAGGAACACCGGUGGCGAAGGCGGGUCUCUGGGCCGUUACUGACGCUGAGGAGCGAAAGCGUGGGGAGCGAACAGG